CCUACGGGUGACAGCAGUCGGGAAUAUUGCGCAAUGGAGGAAACUCUGACGCAGUGACGCCGCGUAUAGGAAGAAGGUUUUCGGAUUGUAAACUAUUGUCGUGAGGGAAGAAGAUGACAGUACCUCAGGAGGAAGCUCCGGCUAACUAUGUGCCAGCAGCCGCGGUAAUACAUAGGGAGCAAGCGUUAUCCGGAAUUAUUGGGUGUAAAGGGUGCGUAGACGGGAAAUUAAGUUAGUUGUGAAAUCCCUUGGCUUAACUGAGGAACUGCAACUAAAACUGAUUUUCUUGAGUACUGGAGAGGAAAGUGGAAUUCCUAGUGUAGCGGUGAAAUGCGUAGAUAUUAGGAGGAACACCAGUGGCGAAGGCGACUUUCUGGACAGUAACUGACGUUGAGGCACGAAAGUGUGGGGAGCAAACAGGAUUAGAUACCCGGGUAGUC
This 440-nucleotide ribosomal RNA is filed under the name uncultured bacterium. RNAcentral describes it as "partial 16S ribosomal RNA". It matches the Rfam family "Bacterial small subunit ribosomal RNA", at positions 338 to 795 of the family's 1533-position model. The record is from RNAcentral.